This is an RNA transcript of Capsicum annuum, 2004 nucleotides long. RefSeq lists it as uncharacterized. NCBI's taxonomy places the organism in Eukaryota, Viridiplantae, Streptophyta, Magnoliopsida, Solanales, Solanaceae. The record is from RefSeq and is a predicted model, not a curated record. The transcript has 5 exons.
GGUAGGAGGUGGAGUUAAAUAAUAAAUAUAGGGUAAAGGGUAAAAUAGGAUUAUAUAAUGUUAAAUAAGAGCAUAAUUGAAAAAACAAAAAUGAGCAAAUCAUGGGAUACCACCAAACCGGUGGUUAUAAAAUAAGGGUUUUCAUGGUUUCCAAACCAUGAAAUUAAACCAUACCAUACUAUUCAUUUUAAGAAACAAUCAAAACAAACAUGGUUCUCUUAGUAACCAUACCAUACUAUGCCAUGGAAAACCAUCAUCUAAACAGUACAAUUAGUUUUUGAAGGAUCAGGAGGUCUUAUGUAUAUGUUCAUACGUAGUCCUACUCUGUCUUUUAUAAACAACUUGGUACUGCAGCUAAUCAUGUUUGAUUCGUAACCGCUGAAUAAGUAAAGCCUAUGGCGUGCUGCAACUAAACCUGCUUGAUUCAUUAAGUGCUGAUAUGUAGUGUCAUCAAGAAAGCUCAUGAGUCAGUUGUGCAACUUCCUAAGCGGUUUUAGCUCCUUCUCUGGUCUUGCCGCCCUCUCUUCUUUUUCGCUGCCAUGUAAUAUAUAGCUGGUUGUUCAUCAGCUUUGAUUAGGACAUUAGUUGUCCGAGCUGGUCCCACCAUAAGAACCGACAUUGUGAAGGGUUUAACAUAAGAGGCAUCUGCUCCAAGGACUGUAAAUUUGUAGUUGGCCAUAGUGAAGAAAAGUUGCUGGCUCAUUCCAACGUUGAUAACUCGAAGAAGGUUGGAACUUAGUGAAACUCACUUGAUGGUGAUCGGAAUCUUAUCAGCGACGUUCCUUCGGACUGGCAGGAAUAACGAAGCUGUAGUGUAUGAUCGAAGGCAGUCUACAAAGAAGUCCAAUAUAGAAACUACUGCUCUGCCCUUCACUUCCAGUCAUGAAAACAGAAGAGACAAAAGGAAGGAGAUUGAUGCGCCUUUCCAUUCCCUGCCUCCUACAGUUAUGAAGGAUAAAGGGAAAGCAAUUGCUGAGCCUUUCAGUAGCUUAUCUCCUGAAACUAAGAAAGAUAAGGGGAAAGGAGUAGUUAUUUUGUCUAACCCAGUUUCAGGAAAUAAAGCUGUAGUCGACAAUCGAAGGCAGACUGCAAAGAGGUGUAAUUUAGAAGUUACUGCUCUGCCUGUCACUUCCAGUCAUGAAAAUGAAAAAGAUGAAAGGAAGGAGAAUGAUGAGCCUUUCGUUUCCCUGCCUCCUACAAUUAUGAAGGAUAAAGGGAAAGCAAUUGCUGAGCCUUUCAGUAUCUUACCUCCUGAGACUAAGAAAGAUAAGGGGAAAGGAGAAGUUAUUCUGCAUACCCCAGUUUUAGCAAACAAGAAGAAGAAAGGUUUUGAUGAGCCUUUCAUGUCUUCAUCUCCUCAGAAGGUAAAAGCUAAAGCUCAGACAAUUUCUCAUAAGCACUUAUCUUCAGAUGAAAACGCAGCUGAAGAAAAAUUUGGUGUUUUGUCUCGGAGUUGCUCAUCUUUAAAGAAAACAAGGGAGAAAGGGAUGUCAGAUGCAUCAGUUUUUAGCUGCCCCACCUUGCCAAAGAGGAGAAGAACCAAUAGGACUGAAGUCAGCGGAGCUGGUGAUAUUAAACCCUCUGGAUCACGGACGGAUCCUAUUGGAAAGCGUAAUAAGAGGAGGUGCACACAGCAGAAACUUGCCUCUGAAGCGGCCUUGCCACAAGAUUUUGUCAACUACUGGCGAGAGCAUUUUAAAGAGAUUGAUGAGUUUGAACUGCCAGAAGAGGAAGCAUCAUACAGUGAUUUGGACUAGAAAGGAGAGGAAUAGUGCUUGGCAGGAAAAGCAAAUCUAGUCUAACCAAUUGACCCUUGUGUAUAGAAAUGUCCAUAUACUUCAUAAACGAGAUGUCUAAAAAGACCUUUUCCAUGGAGCAUCACUUUCACGGCACAAACUCACUUUGGAAAAGCCAUGAAAUUGGUGCAUUUCUUGAUCAAAAUAGAUGUAGUUGAAGGAGGCGGCAUAGCUUUAUACUCUUUUUUGACAUGAGAACCGUAUCUAU